This 295-nucleotide long non-coding RNA is filed under the name Elaeis guineensis (African oil palm). RNAcentral describes it as "long non-coding RNA (EGUI_LNC002493)". Lineage: Eukaryota; Viridiplantae; Streptophyta; Magnoliopsida; Arecales; Arecaceae. The record is from RNAcentral.
CCUUUAUGACUUUGUGAGGGCAUUCAAUUCGUUCAACAACCAAAUUUUCUAGGGCUACCAACUACAUCGACAACUACAAACUGAGAGACAUGCAGAGUGUUUGAUUGCUUCGAUUCAAAAUAUCUGUCGGAAAUUUACACCCUCCAAAUUUAAUCAACCAAAUCUAAUCUCAAAAAGUCAUAAUAUAGAGUUCCAAACUUUUUGAAUCAAAGCAAAGAACAGAAACAUGUCUGCGAAGGGAAGAAAGGACAACAUGCAUCCUGUUCAAGAGUUGCUGUCCUUGCAUUCCUAAGUC